GCGGCCCCGGCUCGGCCGAGGCCGCUCGGGCUCCGCUCGCCCCUCCCGCCGCCGUCUCGCCGCAGCCCCGCGGAGCCGGACCCGGGUCCCACCAAGGGCCAAGUGACUUCCCAAGAGUUUUCUCCCACUCUCCUGUUGAUGUGCCCUGUGUCUCCAUGUGCUGGGGAAUGGUAAAAACAGGAUCCACUGGGAAUUUUUAGCACUUUAAGCUACAACAAUGGUGGCACAUGUGCUGUUCCAGUGGAUUCUAAGAGGGCUUAUUCUGACUUUUCUGCUCAAAACUACUCUGUCCCUAAAUCCAGAUGAUCCCAAUGUUUGUAGUCAUUGGGAAAGCUACGCCGUGACCGUGCAGGAAUCUUACGCUCACCCCUUUGACCAGAUCUACUACACACGAUGCACAGACAUCCUCAACUGGUUCAAGUGCACCAGGCACAGGAUCAGCUACAAGACCGCGUAUCGCAGGGGGCUGCGCACGAUGUACCGCCGGCGCUCGCAGUGCUGCCCCGGCUACUACGAGAGCAGCGACUACUGCAUCCCACUGUGCACAGAGGAGUGUGUGCAUGGAAGAUGUGUCUCUCCUGACACGUGUCACUGUGAACCAGGCUGGGGAGGGACUGAUUGCUCAAGUGGCUGUGACAGCGAGCACUGGGGGCCGCACUGCAGCAACCGCUGCCAGUGCCAGAACGAAGCGCUCUGCAACCCCAUCACGGGCGCCUGCGUGUGUGCCGACGGCUUCCGCGGCUGGCGCUGCGAGGAGCUCUGCGAGCCGGGCACCUACGGCAAGGGCUGCCACUUCCAGUGCCAGUGCCACCACGGCGCCACCUGCGACCACCAGACCGGCGAGUGCCACUGCGCGCCCGGAUACACCGGCGUGUUCUGUGAGGAGCUGUGUCCCCCCGGCAGCCACGGGGCGCAGUGCGAGCUGCGCUGCCCCUGCCAGAACGGCGGCGUUUGUCACCACGUCACCGGGGAGUGCUCCUGUCCUGCUGGAUGGAUGGGGCUGGUGUGUGCACAGCCUUGUCCUCCUGGAACCUUUGGAAUUAACUGCAGCCAGGACUGUCCAUGCCACAACGGAGGGCACUGUGACCCCGUGACAGGAAAAUGCCUGUGUACAGCUGGCUAUAUAGGAGACAGGUGCCAGGAGGAGUGUCCCAUCGGCACCUACGGCUUCCAGUGCGCGCAGACCUGCGCCUGCCAGAACGGCGCCAAGUGCUACCACGUCAACGGGGCCUGCAUCUGUGACCCCGGCUUCAAAGGCAUCCACUGCCAGGAAAGGAUGUGUCCUGAAGGCUUCUAUGGCCUCAAAUGCAACAAGAGAUGCCCCUGCAAUAUUACCAACACCCUCAGUUGCCAUCCUCUGUCUGGGGAGUGCAGCUGCAAGGCUGGCUGGGCUGGGCUCUACUGCAACGAGACGUGUCCCGUGGGCUACUACGGCGAGGGCUGCCAGGUGCCCUGUCCCUGCCACAACGGGGCCGACUGUGACAGCAUCACUGGCAGCUGCAUCUGUGCCCCAGGCUUCAUGGGAGAUGACUGCACCAUUCCCUGCGAGGCAGGCACCUACGGCACCAAUUGCUCGUCGGUUUGUAACUGCAAGAACGAUGGCACUUGUUCCCCUGUGGAUGGGCUGUGCUACUGCAAGGAAGGGUGGCAAGGAGUGGAUUGCUCCAUUCCCUGUUCAAGUGGAAGCUGGGGUCUGAACUGUAACCAGACGUGUUCCUGCAGCAAUGGAGCAUCCUGCAGGCCAGACGAUGGCUUCUGCCUCUGCUCCCCGGGAUGGCAGGGGGACUUCUGUGACCAGCCUUGUCCUGAUGGAACAUAUGGCCUUAAUUGCAGUGAGCGUUGUGACUGCAACCACGCAGAUGGGUGUGAUCCUGUCACUGGGUACUGCUGCUGCCUUGCAGGCUGGACAGGCAUCCACUGUGACAACAUCUGCAGCCAGGGCCGCUGGGGACCCAACUGCUCCAUCUCCUGCAGCUGUGAGAACGGGGGAUCCUGCUCCCCUGAGGAUGGAACCUGUGACUGUGCACCGGGAUACAGAGGGCCCUUGUGCCAGAGAAUUUGCCCCCCCGGUUUUUACGGCCACCACUGCAGCCAGCCGUGUCCCCAGUGCGUGCACAGCAAUGGUCCCUGCCACCACGUGUCCGGGCACUGCGACUGCCUGCCGGGCUUCUCCGGCCCCCUCUGCAACCAAGUGUGUCCCAGUGGGAAGUUCGGGAAGGACUGUGCUGAGGUGUGUCAGUGCACCGAGAACGGGACCUGCAACCCCAUCGACGGCUCGUGCCAGUGCUUCCCAGGCUGGAUAGGCAUGGACUGCUCCCAGACUUGUCCCACUGGGUUUUGGGGCCCUGAUUGCUUUCAUUCAUGCAACUGCCACAACGGAGCACUGUGCAGCCCCUACGAUGGAGAAUGUAGAUGCACCCAUGGUUGGACGGGGCUCUACUGCACUCAGCGUUGCCCAGCUGCUUUUUAUGGGAAGAACUGUGCCAAUGUGUGCCAGUGCCAGAACGGAGCCGACUGUGACCACAUCACUGGGCAGUGCACGUGCAGGACAGGAUUUACAGGCAAACAGUGUGAGCAGAAGUGCUCUCCAGGAACAUUUGGUUAUGGUUGCAAACAACUGUGUGAGUGCAUGAACAAUGCAACGUGUGACCACGUCACAGGCACUUGCUACUGCAGUCCAGGCUUCAAAGGGAUCCGAUGUGAUCAAGCGGCUCUUAUGAUGGAAGAAUUAAACCCCUAUACUAAAAUUAGCCCUGCUCUUGGAUCAGAGAGGCACUCAGUGGGAGCAAUCAUUGGAAUUAUUAUUCUCCUUCUAAUUAUUAUGGUCUUGCUGGCACUCUUUGUGUGGUAUCGACGGAAACAGAAGGAGAAGGGCCAUGACAUGCCAAGUGUAUCUUACACUCCAGCCAUGAGGAUGACUAAUACAGAUUACUCACUUUCUGGUGCUUGUGGGAUGGAUAGACGUCAGAACACAUACAUAAUGGAAAAAAGCUUCAAAGACAGCGGGGGCAGCUGGGAUUGCAGCUAUUUUGCAAGUCCCCCUAUUUCACCGGGAGUAUUUCAUAUAUACCAGGAUCUGCCUUUGUACUGUAACCCAGCACAAGAAAAUGCCUCAUCUUUCAUUGCAUCGCUCUAAUUCUAAAUUACUGGCACUGCCCAGCAGGAUGCACACAGCAGCAAUGAUUAUAUGAAAGAAUCUGUGUGCAGCUCCAGCACUUGUUCCCUGAACAGCAGUGAAAACCCAUACGCCACCAUUAAAGACCCCCCCAUUUUAACCUGCAAACACUCCGAGAGCAGCUACGUGGAAAUGAAAUCGCCUGGUCACAGGGAGUCCCCGUAUUCCGAAAUGCCAACUUCAUCAACAGCCAACAAAAACAUCUACGAAGUUGAGCCCACUGUCAGCAUAGUCCAAGACACCCGCAGUCGGAGUGCCAGCUACCUUCAGAAUCCCUACGACCUGCCUAGGAACAGUCACAUUCCCGGUCACUACGACCUGCUCCCCGUCCGGCACAGCCCCACGCACGGGCCUUCCUGGGACAAGCAGUCCUAGAGGGAUGGACUUCACUGGGCACUGUGCUGCCAACACAGACUGUGAGGAAGCAGAGGAGAAGCCAUUCCUUCCUUUCCUGCGGACUGGCAAGGACUUAACACGACAUCAGCUUGGGCCAACUGCUGCUGCAUGAUGUUAUUUAUAAAGACAUUUUUGUAUGGGUACCUGGAACUAACGAGAGCCUCCUCCACGUGGCACUGGAGCACAUCACCCCAGGAAGGUGUCUUCAUGCUCCAGGCAAAAACUCUCUGUGGCGUGUUCUAACCCUGGCUUUGCUGUAAAAUAAACCACAAAAACAUGCUAAGUAGAAGGACUUCAAGAUUUACAUUUCUACCAACUGCAUCAAGAAACCUUUUACUGUUAGGAACAAGGUGACUAGGAAUACGCUGGAAUUUUUCAUCUUUGUCAAGGGAAUGGACAUUUUUCUGAAUGAGAGCAGGGAAACUUGUCAUUUCACUGUCUGGAAAGCUCAUUUACUGCCAUCACCAUGUGCAACCUGUGCAGAUCAUGCUUGGUAAUUAACAUUGAGAUUGUCAUCUCUAUAUUCAGUACCAGAGAAUUUGAGUUGAGGAAUAUUAACACAGACACUUUCUGUGCAGUUUUUAAUAUCUUUCCAAACAUCCCCUGAUCUUUGCUAAUGAAUGGAGUUUCCACAAUGAGUCUCACACCCACUUACCACACUUUUAACGGUGAUUGGCACAGGUAGGCUUUGACUUUCCUUAUGCAGCUUCUAUUUUGGUAGCUAAAUCCAGCAGAUCUGUCAGGCAGUUUAAACUGCUGCCCCUCCAAUUCCUGCCCUGGGACGCUGCAGGUUUGCACAGACCAGGCCUGGUUUCAUUUCCUUUCUCCAAGCUGAGCCACAUCGGCUUCUCUCUCCCAUCUCCCCAAACCAUCUCCUCAUGAUUCACUGUCAGCAUGCCACUGAUGACACCUCAAUCUGAUGUGCAUUACCAUGUAGUGCAAAUUUAUCCGUUGAUGAUUCUACCUGAAAUGUCAUUAAAUGGUGCUGAAACUGGGUUUUCUUUUUCAGCAGCUGUUUGUGAAGUAAUUAUCAAGGGUCUGACCUAUGGUAAAAUUUUGGACUGAGCCACCAUGAUAUUUUUUUUAAUUUAUAAUCUCUAUUGACCUAGAAAGUAGAGCACUUGCCGUUAGUUCCUUGUAGAUUUUGAGCAUGAAGUAGUAUUGACUCUAAGUAAAUAAUUUUAUUAGGCAAACGUGGAAGUAGCAAGUUGAUUGCCUUUUAAAUAUAGCAGAUAUUCUGUUGCACAUUCGCCAGUCUGAUGGAAGCAGAAGAGGACGACACCAGCCCCGUGGGUUUGCUCCCAGCACGAUGCCAGGAGUGACCUGCAGGGCUCAGGACUGGCAAGAGGAGCCCUCCAGCUCGGGGGCAGCAGCUGGAUCCCAGCUCUGGGAACACUCCUGGAGCACCGUGGAGGCACCCAGCCAUGUCCCCACGGAUGGGCUCAGCCCUCAGGCCUGGGGUCACAGCCCCUGGCUCUGGGCAUUCUGCCCCGGGAGCCUUUCCCCUUGGAGCCAGGACUCUCCAGGUGCUCAGGCUGGCUCUGAACCCCAGUCUGAACCUGGACACCCCCAGGACACCCCCAGGCUCCUGGAGCAGGCACUGCCUGAGCUGCAGGAUCCUGCCCACGAGGUUUCCCGAAUGCUGCAUGUGUGCAUGGGGGCCGUGGCUGAUCAGCAAUAGCAGUUUUGUUUUCCAGGAAAGCCUUAUUUGAGAUGCAAGGAAACAAUUAUUUUGUAGGCCCAGUAGGAAUAUAUUUUGCAUACAUGAAUAGAAAGGUUUACCUCAAAAAUACCAAGAGAAAGACAGUUGGAUAAGGAAUACUCUCAUUAAGACCCACCUUGGCACCCAGCACAAGCAGCCUGAGCUGCUGGCCUGACCCACGUCUGUGUGUUGCUGUAGUAUGCAAUGGGACUCCAGAGAGCAGAGAUGUGCUCAGUUGUUUGGUUUGGUUUUUUUCACAGCAGGAUUUUGAAACCAAAUGCAAUGAUGUGCAUAGAGCUUAACAGGAAAAAAAAAAAAAAGGCAAAACCAACAAAAAAGUACCUUCUUGUAUAUCAGCGUUAGCUUAGGAAACAGGCACCAAAAUGGCAAUACUUUUUUAAGGCAAGACAGAUUUGUAAUAUAUUUGUUCACUGUGCAAAGGUAUCCUACCUUGUACAAAAUAAAUUGAAUUUCUCUCAA
This is a non-coding RNA of Lonchura striata (white-rumped munia), 5753 nucleotides long. Lineage: Eukaryota; Metazoa; Chordata; Aves; Passeriformes; Estrildidae. The record is from RefSeq and is a predicted model, not a curated record.